CUCGGCUCAGCUGCGGACGGGAUCUGCUGGAGCUGGGUCACACCUGGGGCCCUCCGUGAGCCUGGUCUGGUACGGAAGAAAUUCCCCCUACUGUUCUAGAACUCAUCUGGUGUCAAGUGUGUCAGUGACGGGGCACUGAGACUGAUGCAAAGGAGAAAGGCAAGGAGAGAAAUGAUUUGCAUCUUAGACUGGUGCAAAUUCACACUUUGUGGAAAAUUAACAGGUUCCUCACAAGACACCCUCCCCAGCCACCGUGAAACCAGAUGCUCCUUAGCCUCCCCAGGGAUGUGUCUUACAUGUGCCAACAGUGAGCCUGGGCUGCCUCUCACCCUGAGUCUGUGUUGCUGUGGAGGCACCACUCUGCAGCCUUCUUCCUCUCUGCAAGCAGGCUGCUACCCACACUGGCUUGGACCUCUGCCCCAGUCAAGGGGGGCAGAGCUAUGACACUAGUCUCAGAGUUUCAACAAUGCCUGUUGGAAAGGAAAACCCACCUAUUUAUUGUAUCCUUUCUAACUCACUUAGGAAGGAUGCACAACAUCUUAAAUAUCACUGGAGAUAAGAAGUCAACUCUGACAUGAGUCUGCACAAAUAAACCUUAUGGAAAUAA
This is a long non-coding RNA of Homo sapiens (human), 607 nucleotides long. NCBI's taxonomy places the organism in Eukaryota, Metazoa, Chordata, Mammalia, Primates, Hominidae. The record is from Ensembl.